UUGAGUACUGGUAUGAAUGAUUUUACAUUUAAAUUAUUUCUUUUUAUUGUUAUUWAAUUUAGGGUUUUAGUUAAAACUCUUUAAUACAUAAAAAAGACGAUAAGACCCUAAAAGCUUUAUUUUAUUUGUUUAAUCUUAAAUAAAUAUAUUUUUUACUGGGGUAGUUUUUUUAUUAGUUUUAAUAAAUUAGACUUUUAGAUAAAAUAUUCCUUAUAAUUAGGAUUUAAAUAAGUUACUUUAGGGAUAACAGCACAAUAUUGUUGGAGAGAACRUAUCUAUGAUAGUGAUUGUGACCUCGAUGUUGAAUUAAUAUAUCUUUUUAAAGCAGAUUUUAGACGAGAGGGUUUGUUCAACCUUUAAU
Molecule: ribosomal RNA, 361 nt
Filed under: Ampithoe ngana
Lineage: Eukaryota; Metazoa; Arthropoda; Malacostraca; Amphipoda; Ampithoidae
Description: partial large subunit ribosomal RNA
Source: RNAcentral